Molecule: long non-coding RNA, 3179 nt
Filed under: Sus scrofa (pig)
Lineage: Eukaryota; Metazoa; Chordata; Mammalia; Artiodactyla; Suidae
Description: lncRNA (ENSSSCG00000053689.1)
Source: RNAcentral
AGUCCCAGAGACCGCUGGGGUGGCAGGGCCCACCCGAUCGGGGUCUGGGGACAGAAAUCCAGCCCGCCCCUUGACCAGGAACACCCUUGCAUCCACUGAUGCCCCGAUUCCGUCAAUUCAAGAACCACCCCAGCGAGCUCCCGUGGCAAAAUGAGCGAGGGGGAUACACCAAAGAACUGCCUUCAUUCAGUCUCCUCGACCCUCUAUCCAUCCUAUCAGCAUCUCUCCGCCCCCGGGCGCCCACUGCCCUAGGAUUGAGGGCAGGACCGGAGUCGCUCCCCAGGCUGAGGACUGGGCACUCUGACAUCGAACCCCGCAGUACCGACCAUGAACAAAGAAACUCUGCGAUUCUAGGUGGGCCCACUCACCGUGCUGGAACCGCGCCUCCACCAGCCUUCCGCGUCACGGUCGGGGGGACUGGGCGCGGCGGGUGCUUCCGGACCUAUCUCCGAGGUCUGGGACCCGCAGCCUCAGCGGUGCCCCCGGACCGGCAUCCGACCCUUCCCCCCUGCCGCCGCCGCCUCGGCCUCACAGACCCGGCGUCAUCCCGCUGCCUGCGCGCCCACCCUCCGGCUGGGGCGCUGCACUGGCCCCUCUAGCCCUGCCCCACCACGGGCUCCACUGCAGCCGCCGCCACCGCGGAGGCCCUAGCAAACCCCUUGUUUUUGUUUUGAGUUUUCAACGCCCCCAAGGGGGCGGGGCACGUGACUCCCCGCGGAGGGAUCUGACGCUGCCGCAACAGACUUUGAAAAAUAGUUCCGCCCAUAAGCCUUAUCUCCAGCCAGCUUUGAGGCCUCCUCAGCUCGCCUUUGCUUUACUGAGCCACUCCUCCUUCUCGGUUUCAAGGCGAAGGAUGGAAUCUGGACAUCGGCUUCAUUCCGAGAUUGAUCCUAAGGGGGGGGGAAAUGGUAGCGAUAGGCAUGAGGGGGCGGAAGGAGAUAGUUUCUGGUCGCAUUGCACCUUUUAAAGGUCCCCGAUUUGUUUUGUUUUCGCUGUUUUGAAAAGUCCGCCCAAAGUAGCCGACUCCCUGAUUGGAUAUUGGUGGGGCUAGCCGAAUGCUGAAGCUCUGAUUCACUCUCGAAUCCGGAUUGGCUAACUGAUUGGCCUUUGAGCCCUCUGAUUGGUUUUCACCGUAUGCUACUCCUCUUUCUGCCUUGGGGCCUUAGCAACUCUGGGGUCUGCAUUGCGCAUGCCUGAGUGGACCGCGUAGGAGGAAUUCCUUGACUUGGCCCGGUGGUCUUUCCCUUUCCUCCGCCCCCUCGGCUCUAAGCAGGGAAGUACCACUCUCGGUUCUCCCCUCCAAAGAGCCGGAACUGCUAGGUAACCUUUGUGACAACCCCUCCCACCACGGGAGGGUUUCCUGCGUUCCUUUUAUAAUUUGUUGUGCAGGUCCAUUUUUGCGAUAAUCAAGUAAAAUUUUCAGGGUACUUAUUGAAAUAUUUGGGAGUAAAAUGCUGUCAUCUUUGAUAUUUGCUUUAAAGCUUUCCGACCGAGAGGGAAAAAAAUGGAGGAUGGGUAAAACAAGACUGGCAAAAAGCUGAGUUCUUAAAACUAGAUGUGGGUACAAGAGGGUUCGUUGCACUAUUCUUUCUACUUUUGUGCACCUUGAAAUUUUUCCCUAAUAAAAGUAAAUUUUCGAUGAAAGGACUUAAAAAUUUACCUGUGCACAUUGAUGAUGGCACGUAAACAUCUAAUAAUAGCGUCCCUCCUGGGGUUGUAAUUGUACUGUUGUUUAAAUGACGACUCCAAGAGGCUUCCUGGUCCUUAGUUACCCAUAAAUUAUCAUUUAUUGUGCAUUAUAAUUAGCGUAGUUAUUAAGAGGCGACACCUCUUCUGAGGCAGGGCAAAAAGCAAAGCAAAGGGUGCCUUGGGCAGGAGAAACUUUCACACGGAAUAUAUGGGGGGAUGUUGAGGCUCCUCUCUAACAUUUAUAGUUUACUUUUUCUCGCUUCAGUUCCUCGCUGGCUGCCUGCUAAAGGAGCACAUUCUACUCUAAAUAAUCAAUUAGCUCCAAGGAACUGAUUUCUUUCCUCUUCUGUAUGUUUUCUGUAUAUUGUUGUGCUACUUGUAAAAAUAUGCGAAGGCAUGUAACAUAGCUUUUGCAACAGCUUUCUCUUUUUUUCCAGAGCAGCUAAGGAAUUAGAUCCCUUUGCAUAUUGGCUGGGACUAGACUGAGGCGUCUGGAGCACAGGGCCCACUGGGGGAGGGGUGCUCAGAGCGAAUCCUCGUAUUCCAGAGAGGUGUGGCCUAGUACUGAGUUUUGGAAAAUUUAAAAAUUGCAUUACCAGACUACUUUAAAUGAUUAACAGUUUCCAUAAUUUUACUCAAUGUGUGUUUGAUUUUGGAGAUAUUGUUAGAGCUAUUACUUGUAUAUUACAUAAACUUCUUGCUGGAAAUCUGUGCUGAAAAACAUAAAAGAGGGCAUGUAACUAACAUGGAAAAAAGAACUAAGAUUAGAAUUACAUACAUGAUAGUUCCUUUUACAGUAAAGAGGCUCAAUGGACAGAGCCCAGAGAGAAAACAGCUGGACGGGAAACAUACACCCUGAAGAGAAAGGAGAAUUGCACCAAAAUAUGAAGGAGAUUGGGGACUUUUUUUCAAGUAGGAGGGCAAAGGUAGCAAAGGAACAAACCGGAAAUGUCAAAAUAUGUGGCAGAAGAUUUUUUUUUUGGUCUUUUCUUGGGCGGCACCCACAGCAUGUGGAGGUUCCCAGGCUAGGGGUCUAAUCAGAGCUGUAGCCACCAGCCUACACCAGAGCCACAGCAAUGUGGGAUCUGAGCUGCGUCUCCAACCUACACCACCGCUCAUGGCAACGCCGGAUCCUUAACCCACUGAGCGAGGCCAGGGAUCGAACCUACAAGCUCAUGGUUCCUAGUCGGAUUCGUCAACCACUGGGCCACGACAGUAACUCCAGAAGAUUUUUUAAAUAAAAGAGAAAAUAAAUAUAACACAAAAAAGGAGAUUUGGAGACAUUGGCCUUUGCCUAGAUCACUCACUGUUACAAAUCUCUACAAAAUGUAUACUACUUAUCUCAUAAUUGUUGUUUUUUAUGUAUCUUCCUACGGGCAACCUCUUGAAUGAUGAGCAGUUCUCUCAAGAAAGCUUUGUAAAUGGUGUCGAAUUUCUUGCUCUUACAGGGCCUGUUGAGUACAGAAAAGACUGAUUAAAUUGUCCAAUAU